Molecule: long non-coding RNA, 1132 nt
Filed under: Capra hircus (goat)
Lineage: Eukaryota; Metazoa; Chordata; Mammalia; Artiodactyla; Bovidae
Description: lncRNA (ENSCHIG00010027088.1)
Source: RNAcentral
CAGAUUCACAGGAUUUUCCAUGUAUUAUGGAUAUUAACCCCCUGUUUCUGUGAUGUAUUAUUUUCCCCAGUGUUUGGAGUUGCUAUAUAUGGUAAGUUUUUUUUUUUUUUUUCUUAACCAUUUAGUAAAGUGUAAGGUGCAGUGCUCAAGUAUGGAAUCUGUGGAGACUUUAAUUAUCAUUCUAAAGAGAUUAGCAUGGUAUUAGGUUUGGGGAUAUAUAUACAUAUAUGACUUCCCUUGUGGCUCAGAUAGUAAAGCAUCUGCCUGCAGUGCAGGAGACCCGGGUUCAAUUCUGGGUCGAGAGAUCCCCUGGAGAAGGAAAUGGCAACCCACUCCAGUAUUCUUGCCNNNNNNNNNCCAUGGACUGAGAAGACUGGUAGGCUACAGUCCAUGGGGUCACAAAGAGUCAGAUGUGACUGAGUGACUUCACUUCAUUUCACUUCAUGUAUAUAUAUUUCAGGAAAAUUUGUGUGCUAAGUUGCUUCAGUUGUGUCCAGCUUUUUGUGACCCUAUAGACUGCAGCCCGUUAGGCUCCUCUGUGCAUGGGAUCCUCCAGGCGAGAAUACUGGAGUGGGCUGCCAUGCCCUCCUCCGGGGGACCUUCCUGAUGCAGGGGUUGAACCUGUGUCUCUUGUGUCUCCUGCAUUGGCAGGUGGCUUCCUUAGCACUAGUGCCACCUGGGAGGUAUUAAAUGAAACCAAUAUAAAAAUUACAGAAAUACGUAAUGUAUGAGUAUAUGUAUAGGUAAACAUUUAACUUCAUGAUUAAAUUAUAUAUGAAAAAUGUCAUAAACAAAUGUAUAGGCUAAUGGAUUAUUGUAAGGCAGUGUGUUUGCAACCAUCCCUGUAGCCAGGAGAUAGAACCUUGCCAGCUUUCCAGAAGCUGUNNNNNNNNNNNNNNNNNNUAGUUCUAGAAGGUCUUGUAGGUCUUCAUAGAAUUGUUCAACUUCAGCAUCUUCAGCAUUACUGGUUGGGGUGUAGAUUUGGAUUACCAUGAUAUUGAAUGGUUUGCCUUGGAAAUGAACAUAGAUCAUUCUGUUGUUUUUGAGAUUGAGCCCAAGUACUGCAUUUCAGAAUAUUUUGCUGACUAUGAGGGCUACUCCAUUUCUUCUAAGGAAUUCUUGCCCACAGUAG